CUUUGGAGCAGCUGUUUAUGGAAUGUCACUAGUUAAGGUAUAGUUAAGAUGUAGUUAAUAUUUAGUCAUCUAUUUCUUUGAAUGUAUUUGAUUUCAGGUCCAUUAAUGAUACACAGACAUGGUAUGUCACAAUUUGUGUACUUCAUUUUCCACCCUAUGGUGGCCAGAAUCUGUAUGCGUUCCC
Long non-coding RNA from Thalassophryne amazonica, 184 nucleotides. RefSeq lists it as uncharacterized. The transcript is spliced from 3 exons. The record is from RefSeq and is a predicted model, not a curated record. NCBI's taxonomy places the organism in Eukaryota, Metazoa, Chordata, Actinopteri, Batrachoidiformes, Batrachoididae.